AUCCAGCUGACGAGUCCCAAAUAGGACGAAACGCGUACCCUGGAU
Molecule: non-coding RNA, 45 nt
Organism: Schistosoma mattheei
Lineage: Eukaryota; Metazoa; Platyhelminthes; Trematoda; Strigeidida; Schistosomatidae
Source: Rfam